Molecule: ribosomal RNA, 254 nt
Filed under: uncultured bacterium
Lineage: Bacteria
Description: partial 16S ribosomal RNA
Rfam family: Bacterial small subunit ribosomal RNA
Source: RNAcentral
UACGUAGGUGGCUAGCGUUGUCCGGAUUUACUGGGCGUAAAGAGCGCGCAGGCGGUCGUUCAAGUCGAGUGUGAAAGCCCCCGGCUCAACUGGGGAGGGUCACUCGAUACUGAUCGACUCGAAGGCAGAAGAGGGAAGCGGAAUUCCCGGUGUAGUGGCGAAAUGCGUAGAUAUCGGGAGGAACACCAGUGGCGAAGGCGACUACCUGGCCUGUUUCUUGACGCUGAGGCGCGAAAGCUAGGGGAGCAAACGGG